Molecule: unclassified non-coding RNA, 499 nt
Filed under: Hevea brasiliensis (rubber tree)
Lineage: Eukaryota; Viridiplantae; Streptophyta; Magnoliopsida; Malpighiales; Euphorbiaceae
Source: RNAcentral
UGGUGCCUCGCGCAGCCGGUCGUGCCGAUGAGCGAAAUUGGCGCAGACGGACACCCUGCCCGCGGCGGAUUUCUGCCGCCCGUGCCGCUUCCGCGCCGGAUGNNNNGGCGGACAGAUCGAAUUCAUCGAGCCGCUGCGUGUCGGCGACAAGGUCACGCGCUCGUCGCGCAUUUCCGACGUGACGAUGAAGACCGGCAGCACCGGCACGUUGUGCUUCGUCUCGGUCGAGCACACCAUCACCACGCCGCGCGGCGUCGCCAUCCGUGAACGCCACGAUAUCGUCUAUCGCGAUAUGCCCGCGGCAGGCGAUCAGAAGCCGGCCGCAUCGCCCGCACCUGCCCCGGCGGGAAAGAUACGCGAGACCCAUAUGGCCGAUCCGGUGCUGCUGUUUCGAUAUUCGGCNNNNNCGUAUUCACUACGAUCGCGACUACGUCACCAAGGUCGAGGGCUAUCCCGGCCUGAUCGUGCAUGGACCGUUGCAGGCAUCGCUGCUGAUCGA